GGGCGAAUGGUUUAGUGGUAUAAUACUCCCUUAGCAUAAUUCGACCGAAUAGUCAACUGGGAGUGGUCCAGGGUUCGAUUCCCUGUUCGUCCA
RNAcentral lists this transfer RNA (93 nucleotides) under Fusarium acuminatum. RNAcentral's name for it is "tRNA-Ala". It matches the Rfam family "tRNA". Rfam says of the family: Transfer RNA (tRNA) molecules are approximately 80 nucleotides in length. Their secondary structure includes four short double-helical elements and three loops (D, anti-codon, and T loops). Further hydrogen bonds mediate the characteristic L-shaped molecular structure. tRNAs have two regions of fundamental functional importance: the anti-codon, which is responsible for specific mRNA codon recognition, and the 3' end, to which the tRNAs corresponding amino acid is attached (by aminoacyl-tRNA synthetases). tRNAs cope with the degeneracy of the genetic code in two manners: having more than one tRNA (with a specific anti-codon) for a particular amino acid; and 'wobble' base-pairing, i.e. permitting non-standard base-pairing at the 3rd anti-codon position. Lineage: Eukaryota; Fungi; Ascomycota; Sordariomycetes; Hypocreales; Nectriaceae. RNAcentral also lists the same sequence under 1 other name. The record is from RNAcentral.